AGUUAUAUGAAAAAAAUAUAACGCAUGUAUUUAUUAUCAUAUAUAUUUUAAAUCAAGCGAUUACCACUGAAUAUAAAAGGAUCUUCUUUAUUCGCUGUUUUGCGCCCUUUUCCAAUCAACGAGAUUACCAGUUCAAACUAUGGACUGCACCCACACCCGUUGAAGAAGACCGGAACCCAGAAAAAUCUUAGGAGACUCCCGUGUGGCGAGCCAAGGCUUUACCAGCUGGCCAUCCUCCUAUUACGAUUGAUUUAUUUUGCCAAAAUCAAUUUCUGAUUUUACGAUGUUUUCUAUUAAAAAAUUAUCCGAAAGAAAAUUUUGAGACAAGUAUGAAAUACUAUAUAAGAUGCUAUUUUCAUUUUGAACUUUAAGAAUUAUUUUUAUAGAUUAUAUUAUACGUAUUAAAUGUAUGUAUGCGGAUAUCUUUAUUAAUUUAGAUAUAGAAAUCUUAAAACUGCCACAAAUACUACCGCAUGACGAUAGAUUAAAAGAUGUCGCCCACCAUAAUAGUCUUUCGUGGUUCCCGAAAUGUAAUGCGUGGCCCUUGGAUGGCCUGAGGAACAAAGUAACAAAUGAAACAAAACAAAUGAAGUAACAAAUUUUAUCUUAUACAAGAUGAGCCUUUAAAUGGCGUUGUUUGUUCCAUUUAUAUUUUAUUCUCUCAUUUAUUGAUUAUAAGCCACUAUAUAAUCCGACUAAUCAGUCGAUGUAAUUUCCUUCGCCAAAGCCCAUUUAGUCGAAGAAUUAGAAGUCAGCAUUCUGAAUAAUAACCAUUUUUGGCUUUACAAAUUCAGAUAAUUAUGCUGGAAUUCUAUUUCUUUGUUACCACCUCCCACGACAUGGACGCUGGGUUGGACUUUUGGGAGGCAACCUGAAAAAGAAAAAGUCAAAUACGCUAUUAAGAUAUGUAAGAAAAAAAAAAGACAAAUGAUAAUCAAACGGCUUUAGAAAUCCAAUAAAUUUCUUAAAAUAGUUUCCUGAAGUAAAUCAUUUUUGAUGUGAAAAACUCUGAAGAUGAAAAUGGAUGUGGAUAAUGUUUUCUCGAGCGCCUCAAUUGCGUAUUCAUCCUAAAAAGUUAAUAAAUUACUUAAUCUACGUACUGUCUAUAGACAGAAAUUUGUAAAGAGAAUGAAAAUUUCAUUAAAAAGAAAAAGAUUAAUUUAGAUUGAUGAAAAUUACUUGCCUUGGCCGUAAAAAUUAAUGGUGGUAAUUAUAAUUUUAAAAAUGUAUCUUGACGGUCCAUUAGCAACUGCUCUGGCCGCUCCAGUUGAUUUACAGGGCGAAAAGGUUCAGAGAACGGCUCCAUACUUUUUCCCGAUGAAAUGCAGCAAUAUUUGCAUAUUGUUACAUUCCAUCGAGGAUCUGCCACUGCAGCAACAUUUCAUCGCUAAGCUUUGCAAACAUUGCUAAUGCUAAUUUAGGAUCCGAGCGUCGAGUCUUCGUUUCUUCUUCUUCUUCACUCUUUAUAUGGAGGGUUUAGCUUGUGCUUUUUUCUCCGAUGACGAUUCUCGUGCAGGUGAGUCUAGAUGAGUGGGUGCUAAUGAGAUGAGUUCUAGGUGAGUCUAGAUGAGUUCUGUUCGUGCAGGUGAGUCUAGAUGAGUCGCUUUCUGUCCAUCAUUCUUUGUGAUAAGCUUAUAUUGCACAUGACUGUCGAUACUUGUUGGUCGAAAAUAUCGAACAAGACAGAAUAACCAAUGGUAGCCGGACAGGCCUGCAUUGAUGAUGCAAUUGACGAAGUAUUGAACGAAUUUCCGACCAAUGGUCUCUGCUCCUACGUCUGCACUGAACAGGUUGUGUCCAUAUGGACUAGUUUGCUGCGGGCUUUAUAAAUAAAACCGAUUCAAUGAUAAUUUCCCGUUAUAUCUAUCUUAAAUAAAUUCGCUAAGAAAUUCUAGAUGCC
RNAcentral lists this long non-coding RNA (1900 nucleotides) under Androctonus crassicauda. Lineage: Eukaryota; Metazoa; Arthropoda; Arachnida; Scorpiones; Buthidae. The record is from RNAcentral.